UUUUUUAUAUGGUUUUAACGAGUUUGAGUUAAGAGUAGUAAAUAACUUGCUCCCAGGAAAAGAACCGUGUGAGGAGGCCCCGGGGCGUUACAGCCUUUACUUUGAAGGGGACAAAUCCUUCUCACUUUAACAAAUUGGUGUUUCCGCCCGUGACCUGGAAGCAGGACAACAGAGCCACCGACGGAAAAAGCUCCACAGCCUGCGGCCGAAACAACUGAUAAGUUGUUGACGGACGCGCUUCCUUAGCAGAAAAGCGGCUCACUGUAGCUUAUGGGUAAAAAGUUUAAAGCCCAGAGGGAUCUCACGUAAGACGUCGAGGUCUAAAUUUAUACACUGUGUGAACGGAAGGUGUGAAAGAUGGAUGCAUGUGGACUAGAAAUUGAAUCCAGAAACACCUCAUUAAAAGCGAGUCUGGAUAAAGGGAGAAAUAUGAUCAUGGCGAGUUAUCCAUUGAAGGAUGCAGAACACCAGAUUAGAAAAUUUGAUGAAUGGGUUGAAAAAAUGAGAGAAGAUGGAGUGUUUGGGGAAUUAGAGGGGCCCCCUCCAAACACUUCACAACGUGGUUUUUAUUUGGAUACACUAAAAAAUAGAUUGUCACAAGCUCGUGAAAAAAAAUGGCUGGUGUUGGUGUGUUCGGACGAGACAAACACCAGAAGGAAGAAACAAAACUUUUGGAUUUGAUUAGACAAACCAAGUUCAAUUUUAGUAACUAUUUUUCUGACAAGGACCCUGAACAGGAACAGGUGGAGCAAAACGGGGCUCAGGGAGGUGAGCAGGCACUCGACACUUCAGAGGAUGCCUGUUAUGGAGUUGCGUGAAGGUCAGAUAAAUUGUGAAAUAAGGCCUACAGAGGAAGAAUUGGGACAAGAGGUACGAAAGAAGUUUCAGAUGCAAGAUUUAAUAGAGGAGGCGGUAAAUAAAGCAUUUCAGCGAAUGUCAACAAUUGAUAGCAUGGGCACAGAACAUGAAGGGCACAGUCUAGGGGCAGCUGACAGUCUAAGAGGGAGAGAUGAGCAGAGGAAGCCACAUACGGAUAGCAAUGAGGAAGAUAUGAUACAAAUGGAAAGGAAAGCUUAAAAUAUAAGAGGUUGAUAUAUUUACAAUUUACGAUGUCUUGAAAUGAACAUUUUAAAGGUAAGAAGAUCAAUUAAUACAUUUUCAGUGCUGUAAACCCCCGCCCAACAUUGAGCUCCAGAAGGUGGAUCACACAGAGCAGCCCUUCACUUAGAGGCAGGAGAGAAAAGGAAAAGAAGACACAGAGAGACUGAGUGCACACAGGGCCGAUCACAGCAGAAGCAGGGCCCAGGAGUCUAGAAGCAGUUUUUACCUUAAAGACAUCUACCAAUUACUACACUAGAAUGGUAUUGUAAUCUACAUUUAGAGUGACUGAUUCAGGAGCUUAUAUUUGAAAAUGUUAGACCACACAAGCUAAGUUUGUCAAACUGUAGCAAA
Long non-coding RNA from Cyprinodon tularosa, 1452 nucleotides. RefSeq lists it as uncharacterized. The record is from RefSeq and is a predicted model, not a curated record. Lineage: Eukaryota; Metazoa; Chordata; Actinopteri; Cyprinodontiformes; Cyprinodontidae. The transcript has 3 exons.